AGAGUUUGAUCCUGGCUCAGAACGAACGCUGGCGGCGUGGAUAAGACAUGCAAGUCGAGCGCUGAUUACAGGGUAGCAAUAUUCUGUGGUCGGAGCGGCGCAAGGGUGCGUAACACGUGGGUAAUCUGCCAUGAAGUUUGGGAUAACCUGCUGAAAGGCGAGCUAAUACCGGAUGUGAAAAUUGGAAGGCAUCUUUUGAUUUUCAAAGCUGGGGACCGUAAGGCCUGGCGCUUCAUGAUGAGCCCGCGGCCUAUCAGCUAGUUGGUAAGGUAACGGCUUACCAAGGCUAAGACGGGUAGCUGGUCUGAGAGGACGACCAGCCACACUGGAACUGAGACACGGUCCAGACACCUACGGGUGGCAGCAGUCGAGAAUUUUUCACAAUGGGCGCAAGCCUGAUGGAGCGACGCCGCGUGGGGGAUGAAUGGCUUCGGCCCGUAAA
This 442-nucleotide ribosomal RNA is filed under the name uncultured Verrucomicrobiota bacterium. Its description in RNAcentral is "bacterial SSU rRNA". It matches the Rfam family "Bacterial small subunit ribosomal RNA", at positions 8 to 429 of the family's 1533-position model. Lineage: Bacteria; Pseudomonadati; Verrucomicrobiota. The record is from RNAcentral.